RNAcentral lists this ribosomal RNA (282 nucleotides) under Triticum aestivum (bread wheat). RNAcentral describes it as "partial small subunit ribosomal RNA". Lineage: Eukaryota; Viridiplantae; Streptophyta; Magnoliopsida; Poales; Poaceae. The record is from RNAcentral.
AUGACUUCUUCCGGUUCCGUCACGAGGCCACCGUGUGCUAACCAUGAGGACAUGCCGGACAAGUGGACAGACACCAAGUUGGAUAAGGUGACGGACAAAGAUAUGAGAACUCCAUCAUGUUGGUGUGGAGAUGUUUGCAAAGUUAAGAUGUCCACCGACCGCAAGAAAUCAUGGACGGAAGGAAGAAGAUAUUUUGUUUGUCCCAACUAUGCCUACAAUCGUCCUCGUCCAGCUCACGCCUAUGAUGUACCGCCGGUAAGUUGUUCAAGUUCAAAAAUGUAG